GCCAGUGUGUGAAUAUGAUGGAAAUGUGAUGUGAAAUCAGCCUGCAAAUUUGUAUAUACAAUGCAUAUUUUGCAUGUCAGUUAUUUUGUGCUUUAUGAUACAAGUUUGAGAUACGCGGCUAGGCCCCAAUUAUGUCACGUAAAAGCGCGACGUCGGACACGGGCCGCUCCGCGGCACCGACAGAUUCGAAAGCUGCUGGCAAGUCUAACAACCCUGCCCCAGGAACUAGCCAGGAACCAAAGCCUUCAACUAGCCAGAAGCAGAAUGACGACGCAUCCAAGAAACCUCGCGAGCUCAGCAACAGCAGCAAGGCACAUAAACACACGCAAUCUUCAUGUAAGAAAUAAUCUUCUUCCUGUAACGU
Hyposmocoma kahamanoa is the source of this 364-nucleotide long non-coding RNA. RefSeq lists it as uncharacterized. Lineage: Eukaryota; Metazoa; Arthropoda; Insecta; Lepidoptera; Cosmopterigidae. The record is from RefSeq and is a predicted model, not a curated record. The transcript is spliced from 3 exons.